AGGACGAACGCUGGCGGCGUGCCUAACACAUGCAAGUGGAGCGACGAACCAGGCUUCGGCCUGGGGCAGAGCCGCGAACGGGUGAGUAACACGUGGGUAACCUGCCCUGAUGAUUGGGACAACCCGAGGAAACUCGGGCUAAUACCGAAUGUGCCCUCCGGCCUCAAGGCCGCUGGGGAAAGGAAGCUUCGGCCUCCGCAUCGGGAUGGGCCCGCGGCCCAUUAGCUUGUUGGUGAGGUAACGGCUCACCAAGGCAACGAUGGGUAGCUGGUCUGAGAGGACGAUCAGCCACACUGGGACUGAGACACGGCCCAGACUCCUACGGGAGGCAGCAGUGGGGAAUCUUGCGCAAUGCGCGAAAGCGUGACGCAGCAACGCCGCGUGGGGGAAGACGGCCUUCGGGUUGUAAACCCCUUUCAGUUGGGACGAAGCUCCGCCGGUGAAUAGCCGGCUGGAGUGACGGUACCUUCAGAAGAAGCCCGGCUAACUACGUGCCAGCAGCCG
Molecule: ribosomal RNA, 504 nt
Filed under: uncultured bacterium
Lineage: Bacteria
Description: SSU rRNA
Rfam family: Bacterial small subunit ribosomal RNA
Source: RNAcentral